Anas platyrhynchos (mallard) is the source of this 7519-nucleotide non-coding RNA. NCBI's taxonomy places the organism in Eukaryota, Metazoa, Chordata, Aves, Anseriformes, Anatidae. The record is from RefSeq and is a predicted model, not a curated record.
CAGGUCCUCUGGAAAAUGCAAGCCCUGAACAAAACCCAGCCCUGUCAAGCAAACUGCUUCCUAACUGCAAGCAUGGUGACCAUUCCUGCAAACAAAGGGAGAAGAAAAUAUGGCAAACUGAGCUCAGGAGUCCCACAAGAGUGUUACUCUGAGAACAUUAGUGGUGCUGACCAGCUCAUAAAGCUUGCCGUCGUGUUGAGUGCUCCUAGCCUCCGAGAGUCAACUUCAUUUUCCGUCCUGGCAAUAUACUGCUCCCGAAAACCUUAGCAAGCAAAAGAGAAGCAGAGGGAGAGCGAGCUGUGAUAUCUGGCGCUCUCCAUCCCUGUUUUUGCCUUUUGUUUCAGUGUUUGGCUCCGGACCCUGUAGAGGCCACUGAGUGAUUUAACACCUGGAUGGCCCCAGGACAGCAUUGCUGCUCUAACAGCAUGUUGUGCUCCCUUCUUCCUUAAACAGUGUCAAGUCUCUUGUUGGCUUCCCUUAGGAGCUGGGGCUGGGCGAACAGAUGCACCUAUUCCUUGGAGAAUGAAUAGUUUGUUUAUGUAGAAGAGAUGAAUGGGGCAGUAAGGCCAGCUAGGUCAGUUAUUUAGCAUGAAAAAAGCCAUCAGGAUCGCCCUGCGGUACUGCUCAAGGAAGUGUGGAGCAUACAAAGGUGUACAUACAUCCUCCAAGCCAGCCCUCCUCGGGGAGCACUUUAAUUAGGAAGGAGGGCAAAUGACCAGAGAGGCUCUGUGUGGAGGCAUGGGGACAGGCGGUGACAAGGCCACACGGCUGUCUGAGCAGAGCACCACGAUCUGUGGGUGUCCACUGGGCAUUACCUCCACCUGUGACACUUCUCCCCAAGUCCCCUGCUCAGCACCCAAGCAUUAAGGUUUAUUUUUUUAUUGCUUUUUCUUGUUUACUCCCAAGCUGAUACUGGGGGAAAGGGCUAGCUGGGAACAAGGAUGGGGAAAGUAUGUGUGCAUCUUUCUUUUUGCCCGUCUCUUUUUCUCUCAAUCUACCCUCAACAAGGGUGCCUAUAGAAUAUAGCAUAAUGCUGUAUUGUUUGGUUAGGGAUUUAAUUUCACUCCAUCACAAGCUACCAUCGGAGCCCCUGUCAUUGCAAUUUGUCACACUUUUUUGUGCGCUAUAUCUCACUGAAGUCACAUCUCCUCCUCAGCCCGUUGCAUAAUCUCCUGGUCUGGAACAAAGCUCUCCAACAUAAUGAAAGAGGUGAAAUCAGGAAAGGGAAAGUCAACGGUGACCGUUAUCACUAUAGAGCUUGCUCCCACUGGCUCUGCAGGUUCAGUCACACCACGCAAAGCAGAGUAAGAAGGACAUGCUGUGUAUGGUUUUUUUUUUUUUUUGUUUUUUUUUUGGUUUUUUUUUUUUUUUAAGCCUGUUUAUUGAACCUGCUGGCAACACCAUUGGCUGCUGAGAUAUGUAAUCCUAUUCCCUCCUGCAGACCACCAGCCAUAAAGAGGCUGCGGGAUGUCCCAGUGACCCACCAGGGAGUUGAGAGCCUCCAAAAUAGAUAUCACAGGGAAAGAAGUGGAGAAAUCAGUUUGCUUUAAAAGAAAGGGUUGACUCAUGUCUCAGCCUAAACCCACAAUAACGUGGUGCUUAGUAAAAAUACCCUAAACAGAAAGAAGAUAGAAUAGGUGCACUUUAAAGGAAAAAUGAACAUCUGCUAAAAUAAGCAGGAUUAUGUUUUCUAUAGGAGAGUGGUCAAGGACUCUGUUAUGUGUUCAAGGCUAAAUUUCAAGAUGUAAACUGACUGCUUAGAGUUCGGGGAGGGGAGGGGAAUCAUAUGGUGGUUCAUGAGGCUGCCCAUGUGCUCGGGGCUCCACACCUUGCUGCGCUGCUCCAGCCAGGACUUCAGGGUUUGCCCUGCAUUUCUCCUGGAGCACUACAACAACGUCUUAAUGUUCUUGCUUGAUGAUUAAAUUAGAAACUUUGAUUUGUUUGUGAUUCACUUACCAUGACAUCAACAAGGGCAUGUUGAUGCUGAAAAGGCAAUGAAAGUAGAGAAAUCAGCUUCAUAAAUUCUUUUGUGGACUUUUCAUAUCCUGUGGAGGGGUAGGGAGCGGCCUGAGACAGAUAGCUAAUUCACGGGACAAUACUAUUUUUGUUCUUCAUUCGCAUUGUUGCAACUCUGCCUGCUCAGAACUUGUGAAAAAAUCUGUCCGCUCUUCCUCCAGGGCUGAUUUAUCGAUGUGGGCUCCCAGGUUUGAACUAUCUGGGAAAACACUUUACCAGGCUCACAAGCAAAACACACGGAUUUGUGCUUGCAGCUUACCAGAUCUGGCAGCAGAAUUCUUUAGAAAAUGUGUUUGGAGGGUUUCUUAAGAAAUGUAAAUAAUGUCCUCUAUAAGGAAUUUCAAUUUCUCCAAGAGGAACAAAAGAAAAGAAAAAUCUGAAACACUAAAUGUUUGUGGCCUUGGGUGAACUCUUAUAUUCUAAUUUCUGCUAAAGGCUAUUUUAUUUUUUUAUUUUUUUUAUUUUUUGGUAGAAAAACUGCAUUUCAUCUGAAAGUUUUCACUAAAAAGUCCCCAAUUUUUGAUCAGUUCUGAACAGCACCCUUUCACAUUAAAUAAAGAGAAAGUAUAAGGUAUUCACAAGACAUGUAUCAAUUUGACAUCAGUGUAACAUUUCUUAAGUGGCUCAUUCAGGAGUGAAGCCCAUGACUAACAGGCAAAUGGCAGUGAGAUACAAGGAAAGAUGGUUUUACAAAGGAGAGCAAUAAGAAAGGAAAAUGUUACACUGUUUGCACCGUGUGUUUUAUAAGGAAGAUCAGGGUAACAAUGAGUCACUAUGGAAAGGAUUUAUUGGGCUACGGAGCUAAAAGUCUGUAAAGAUUAAAAUUCUGAUGGGGUUUGGAUGUGGAAUUGUUUCUGAGUUUAGUUUUUAUCCAGCACACUGUCCAAGUUAUUAAUCCCCUUGUGUUUUCUAAGCUGGGUAACUCGUUGUCGAUAUGCUCCCUCGGCCAAUUUCAGGCAUGCCGGCCCACAGGCUGGUGUAAUAUUUCUUCAGGCGAAUCACUGGGUGGUCUUGUCUUGUCUUGUGAAGAGUGAGAAGCAGAUAGCAGGAGACUUUCAAGAUUGCUGUUGCAGGCAUCAGUCUCUGAGUGGAAAAUAAUCCACCUGGAAGGACGCUGCCUUUGCAGAGAGGGGCGGCCGGCGCUGCGAUCGGGAGAUAAGUUACGCUCAGAGAUGUUUGCAGCGAAGGUGCAAUUUGUCAGUGAGAGGCAGGGCUGGCGAUUCAGCUCUCUGGUGUCUGUUAGCAUCUGCCACUCGCAUCCACUUGCAGCUUCUCUGGAAUCACUGAGCGCUAGAAAGCGGCACACUUCACUGCUGUGCGAGAGCAGGUGACUGGCAUCAGCCCUCAGUUAGCCCUCCUGACAAAGCCCAGAGACGUGUUGACUAGCUGCAGAAGGUGUCUAGUGUCCAGCUUUCCUCGGUGAUGGCCGUAUGAUCACUUGCAGCGUAGGACACAAAGGGACCCCAAGUGGGACAACCCCACGUGAAAAUACAGUAGGCAGGGAAGCGUGUUGCGAUAGUCUUGGCUCCACAGCUGCUAUCUACCAUGUUUUCCUCACAUCGCUGAUGGUGAGAUGCUCUUGGAGGAAGGAGAUAUGACUUGAAAGGGAAGCAAAGAGUCCAGUUGGGACAGUUUGUUCCUACAGGCAGCAUUUACCUCCUGUGAAUGCUGUCAGAGAAGGCAAGAUGCCAGUGGACAAUACUGCCUGCAGGGAGGAGCAGGGAGCUGGGGCUUUGCAUGUGGCUGUGUGGAAGCCAGCAGAGUCCCUCCGUGCUAAUCCCUUGGUGUCUCUGAAUUGCUGAGGAGACUGAUUGCAGGUCUUGCCCUUGAGUACAAGUGCUCCAGGUCAGAUUCACUGUAGCUGGAGGUUUUUGCAAGUAUGUUUCCCACUGGUGCGUUGUACACCAGGAGGCAAUAUCUUGUUUCCUGGAGAAGAACUUGAUAUUAUCACUAAGAAGAAGAUUUAACAGAGGAAUCUGGUGAACUUGUCACCGCCCUGCAUAGUUUCUCUGGUUUUGCUUUUGUUAAAGCAGUUUACAUAGGGUAAGGAGAUAGGAUGGAACUAGGAUCCUUUUUGUUUUGUUGUUGUUAAAAACCUUAUUACAAAGAAAGGGAUCAGAAUGUUCACAGCUCAAGCUUGACUUGGAAAAGGUUGCCUAGUGUCUGAAUUUAUCCAAAUUAUCCAUGCUACUGUUAGGACAAUGAGUCAUGAAAUUUACAACACUUUCAUUUCUUGUCCCAGCUGGAACUACUACUAGAACAUUUUUGUGUGCUGGUCUGGUGUUCUCAGCUCUGGUCCCAUCUGGAGUUAGUAAGAUGCACCUGAGUGGGAAACACUUAGCUGAACAUUUCAAAACAAUGAGGCACAACAUUAAAGACUGAGACCUAAGGGUUCAUGUCGUCAGAUCUAGGCUUGAAGAACAAUUUUGUGUUUGCUCCAGUAAAGGCAGGUGCUGGGCUACUGGGAUAGAGGCAUCAGAGAUGUGUCUGCUGCUUUAGGGCUCAAAGGACAGAGGAAACUUCAUUAAGCUUUGUAAGUUGUAAGUUUUAAUGGGCACAUGCCUAAACACCUUUAUUGCUUAACCUUGUUUUUGGUGUGGCUUGUACACAAAUUCCAUGGAUCAUCAGCAAAAAAUUUGCUGAAUAAGUGAAAAUAUCUUGAAUGGAGUUUUGUUUAAAGGACACCCUUCAUGAAACAGAGUGAGGAAAACUACUGCCAGUCAGUGUAUCUUUGCAAUGCCAUAAUCUGUUGCUAUUUGUAGACGUUUUAUGUAAUGAUGAGGAUUUACUUGAGAUUUUUCUCAGGAGCUUGGCUGGGUCGUAAUGGCACUAAAUUCCUAUCAUUGGGUUUCAGAACACAGACUCCCACUCUGCAAGCUGAUGUGACCAAGGCAAAUCACAUAUGAUCAAGUUUUCUGUAGUUCUUCAGCAAGUUCUUACAAGUGCUUAAGCAGGUUAAGUGCCCAAAUCCUAUUACUUUAGUUUUGAAAAGCUGGCUUUUAGUCUUUCUAGUACAUAUGUUCAUAGGUAUUUAUGAUCCCAGCUACCUCUGAUGAUUUCCCCCUCUGUGCCUUCAGCAAAAGACGGAGAAUAGCACUACCUUAUCUACCAGAGAUACUGGGGGGAUAAGUACAUUAAAGAUUCCUCAGAAGUCACUUGUGCUGGUUGAUCUCACAGGUGUAUUUACAUGGCUUGAUUCUCUUCCCAUGAACUCAUUUGAAAUAAAUAGAAAUGCAGUGGUAAUAGAGCUGGUGUCACCAAAGAAUGAUUCUUAUAAUGUCAUACCCUGCUCAGAGGCAGCAUGGGUGUAGAACCCAAGUGCCCUUCUUAUUUGGAGAGGGCUUGUUUCAGUUAAGCAACAGUUGAGAUAUGUAUAGGAUGGAAGCCUUCCUUCCUACUCUGUCGCCGUGGUUAUGGGGGCAAAAUGGAGCUUUUGCAGAAGUACUUCUAGUUCUAUAUAGCUACCAGCUAAACUAUCAGAAUUAACCUGGUAUUCAUUCCUAUUACCUACCCCUUUAUUUUUGAGGCAAAAUGAGCACAAACACUUUGGUUCAGAAAGAUGGAAAUUUACACUCCAGCAAAUAGCUGAGCGUUAAUGACAUUCACCCUAUAUAGAAGCAUAUAUCUUAUAGGAAACUGCAUUGGUUAUGCUUGAGAAAUCUUUCUAGGACAGUCAUUGCCCUGAGACUUAUGCAUCUGCAUAAAGUCUACUACAUUAGAAACUGAACAGAAUGGCCCGUCUCUCCCACGGUCUUAAGUUAACACUUUUCCUUUUGUCUGGGGCACCCUUUUCUAAACUUGAAAUCCAAUUGGCCAACAAUUAAAGCCAAUUAGCACGUGAGGAAAAUAAACCACAGACCCCACUUCUAUGUAUUUCAUGGGCUGUUAGAAAGCCUAGUUAGCUCAAGGCAUUAGCAUAGUUCAGGAUCGGUCGAGGCACACAGCACAGACUAGUUGGCUUAAAGUAUUAGAGGACUGCGAUAGCGGGCUGGCUGAGCAGCAGUGUUAUUCUGGGCUCACAGCUGCCAAACAUUCUUGACAGGAGAUGAGGCAGAUGUCCAAGGACAAUCAAAGAGAGAAGAAAGUUUAAGCCAACGUUUGCCUAUCUCAUAUUCUCUACUUGAUCCUCUCCUCAAAGACAAGGCACAGCUGUUGCACUUCAAGGUCUAUCUGGCUGAACCCAGCAGCUCCUCCUUUUCCCCCUCCUGGCCUGCCUGAGCUUUCUCUGUGUUGGACUUUGGCAACCUACCAGACCUCAUUAACUCCUAACAGGACGAUUCGUGACGCUAAAUGGGUCUUAUUUAAUCUUUUUGCAUGUGUGUGAGUAUCUGAGGACAAUUCUGCUGCAUACUAAUUGCAUGAAAAUGUGGCGGAUUAUAGUUAUGUGAGCAUUGCCCACCAGUCUACAAGGGAUCACCCCAGGCCACAAGAACAAGCACUGUAACAUUAACAAGGUGAUUUUUCACAGCUGCGAUGGCAAAGGUGAUACAAAAACAGCAGACAAAAGUGUUUCACAGACAAAGGCAUCAAGAGGCUCGGUCAUUUUGCUCUCACUGAUGAAUAAAAAUACAAGAACUGUUGUGAUAAUGAACACGGUGAAUGAUGGCAGGUGUAUUAGUAAGAACAGAAGUGCCAUAUCUAUAGCUCCCAGCCCUACACAACAAUUUAUCCCACUCGCAGCCUGCUCUCUGCAGCCCUGUUUUCUGCCUGAUGUUUGGAUUUGGGUACAGACUGAGCGGUAGGCCAGAUUUUGUGAUACUCAUGUCAACUUCUGCUUUCCUUUUUCUGAGUUCCACAGCAACUCCUCUCACACAACAAGCAUGGGGCAAGUGUCUACUAUGUGGCCAUAUGAGAUGGGGAUGUCUCAAACUUAAUCCCAUAAUAGCCAGGUGAUAAAGGAAGGACCAGGCUAAAUAGCUUUCAAAUGUCUUCUACUUAAAGAAAUAUAUUGCACUCCAGGACCCCCCAAAUUGAAUGUCACUGACCUACAGGAACAGGCUGGGACACAAGAAACUUGGGCUCUGCCUCUCCUUAGCCUUCAGCAAAUCAUUUACUUUCUCAUGGUUUAUCCUGGGCCAGUGCAUGGGAAUAAUAACAGUUAGCUGUGUUUCGAAAGCACUGUGAGACUGUCAGAGGAAAGGAAUUGGCUAACUUCAAAGUAGUGCUAUUAUUAACUGCAUACAGAGCUGUGGAAAAGAUGUAACUGGCCAGUUUAAUUCAAGUAGCCAGCUGAGUUUCCUGGGCCAAAAAUAUGGGGAGUUUGUUUUAGAUUUUCCAAAUGAGAAACAAAGCGUGUUUCUCAAAGACAGAUACCUUCAUGCUUUACGUUUUUUGAAUUUUUUACAUAUGGAGAAUUUUUGCACAGGCAGAGUAGCAACCAUGUGCAAAUAGCAGCUGAGAUUUGGGCAUGUGUUAUUUUGUUCCCCAAAGUACAUCUGCAAUGAGUCUGAAUGAGCAAUCCUACAAUAACAAAUGUUUCUAAGUCUAUAAUGGAGCAAUUCUC